Long non-coding RNA from Paralichthys olivaceus (Japanese flounder), 644 nucleotides. RefSeq lists it as uncharacterized. The record is from RefSeq and is a predicted model, not a curated record. NCBI's taxonomy places the organism in Eukaryota, Metazoa, Chordata, Actinopteri, Pleuronectiformes, Paralichthyidae.
UCCUAGAAAUGCGGUCUCGGGAACUGCAGCUUCCGGUAUGUAGACGUUCUUAACAACGUCACAUCCGCACCAGGGUCCCAGUUUUCCCGGGAGCAGCUGAUCGAUCAGUUUUCGUCCUGAAGACGUUUGAAGCACGUGUGUGUCAAUGAUGCAGAGAACUGCAGAAAUGAAGCCAGGCCGGGUUCUACCCAGACCUCCUGACUGACACCUGGUCCUCACGUUGGAGUUCGACUAAACUAAAGAAAAAUCCAGGUUUUCAGGACCUUCCUGGAUUGUCGACAGAAGAUGGUGACUGAGCGUCGUUGGAUGACGUCUGGACUUUUGACGAUGAAGUGAAACACAGAAAUAUCCAGAGCUGAGGCCGGUCAUCCUGUGGAGGUUUCUCACAUGUGCACGAUGUCACAGAUUGUAUAACUAUUGUAAAAGCAGAAGCACCAUAGAAACAAUGAGUGAAGAAUCAAUGCGGAACAAAGAGAGAGAUUGAGAUUUUACAAUCGUUGAAUUGAAAUCUGUGCGAGACGUAUUUUACCGUAUGCAAUAAAAACAAGGUUUACGAAUUUUAGCCUUUUGUCACCGAAGCAUUUAUUAUUUGUCUUUACUCAAAGAAAUCAUGACACACUGCCGAAAUAAAAUAUCUGAACUCA